Lycium ferocissimum is the source of this 1063-nucleotide long non-coding RNA. RefSeq lists it as uncharacterized. NCBI's taxonomy places the organism in Eukaryota, Viridiplantae, Streptophyta, Magnoliopsida, Solanales, Solanaceae. The transcript has 4 exons. The record is from RefSeq and is a predicted model, not a curated record.
GCUAUGUAUUAAUCUGAAUCGACAAAACAGAAACAAAGAAAAGAUUAGACUGGAACGGAAAUCAACACAUUGAUCUCUCUCAUUAAUUCGGGGAAGCUUCUUCUCUUGAUACAGGGAGUCAAAACACUUUGUUUCUUCAUUGAAUUCUUGUAGAAAGAGGUCAAAUAUGUCAAAUCUUCAGAGGUUCCUUCAAUUGGUGACACCGAUUGUCCCUUCAAAACCUCUACCAAUGAGUUAUAUGGAUAAUUCAAUUUGGAAGGACACAACUGAAUAUUUCACACUUGGAGAUUUGUGGGAUUGUUAUGAAGAAUGGAGUGCAUAUAUAUGGUGUCGGUGCUCCAAUUACCUUAAAAGAUGAUGAGUCUGUUGUCCAAUACUAUGCUCCUUACUUAUCUGCCGUUCAGAUCUACACAAUUAAAUCUCCAACAACACUUAGACUUCAGAGAGAAAUAUAUUAGAAGAAAUUCAUGUAUUCCGAGCAGAAGCACCUUAUGUCCACCUUUUUGUACACAAACCAAUUGAUUUCAAAGGCUUCAACGUCAGUCGUCAAAGAGCUACUGUAUUAAUCAUCAGGUGACUGGAAAAGUUGUAAAGCUUGAUGGGAUUAUUAGCUAUUUACAGUCCUUCUGGCACCAAGUUGAGGUAAAUUAUUUAGGGGCUUUUUUUUCCCCGCUUGCAAAGACUGACUUUGCUAAAAUAGUGGUUGAGUUGUUGGAGAAGUUGUUGUUUGAUAUGUUUUUGCCAAAAAAAAAAAAAAAAAAAAAAGAAAAAACCUGAUGUUAGAAAUACUUUCAACUUAGUUUUUAGUCAUCAAUUGCAAUAAAUGUUCCAAUUGAUGUGGAGUUAAACAUUAGCAAGAUAGGUGAAUUCUAUAUAUGUAUAUUUUCAUGUGUUCCUCUCAAUGGAGUUGAAGUAAUUUAAAUCCAAGAAUGGACUUCAACAUGGAAUGUAUGAUGCAACUCAGUCAAGCAUAUGGUAUUACUCAUGAAUUUUUGAUUUCUGGGAUAUAAAUGUUUCUGAAUUUGUGACAAUUUCAUACGAUUCAAAUUAUUGGGGGUGUUGU